AUUGAACGCUGGCGGUAUGCCUAACACAUGCAAGUCGUACGAGAGUUUUUAACUCUAGUGGCGGACGGGUGAGUAACACGUGAGAAUUUGCCUUUAGGAGGGGGAUAACAAUUGGAAACGAAUGCUAAUACCCCAUAUGCUUUUGAGUGAAAUGGAUUUUAUCCGCCUAGAGAGAAGCUCGCGGCUGAUUAGCUUGUUGGUAAGGUAAGAGCUUACCAAGGCGACGAUCAGUAUCUGGUUUGAGAGGACGAUCAGACACACUGGAACUGAGACACGGUCCAGACUCCUACGGGAGGCAGCAGUGGGGAAUUUUCCGCAAUGGGCGAAAGCCUGACGGAGCAAUACCGCGUGAGGGAAGAAUGCCUAUGGGUUGUAAACCUCUUUUUUCAGGGAGGAAUAAAAUGACGUGUACCUGAAGAAUAAGCAUCGGCUAACUCCGUG
Molecule: ribosomal RNA, 441 nt
Filed under: uncultured bacterium
Lineage: Bacteria
Description: bacterial SSU rRNA
Rfam family: Bacterial small subunit ribosomal RNA
Source: RNAcentral